Molecule: ribosomal RNA, 460 nt
Filed under: uncultured bacterium
Lineage: Bacteria
Description: partial 16S ribosomal RNA
Rfam family: Bacterial small subunit ribosomal RNA
Source: RNAcentral
ACGCUGGCGGCGUGCUUAACACAUGCAAGUCGAACGGAAAGGCUCCUGCUUGCAGGGGUACUCGAGUGGCGAACGGGUGAGUAACACGUGGGUGAUCUGCCCUGCACUUCGGGAUAAGCCUGGGAAACUGGGUCUAAUACCGGAUAGGACGAUGGUUUGGAUGCCAUUGUGGAAAGUUUUUCGGUGUGGGAUGAGCUCGCGGCCUAUCAGCUUGUUGGUGGGGUAAUGGCCUACCAAGGCGUCGACGGGUAGCCGGCCUGAGAGGGUGUACGGCCACAUUGGGACUGAGAUACGGCCCAGACUCCUACGGGAGGCAGCAGUGGGGAAUAUUGCACAAUGGGCGCAAGCCUGAUGCAGCGACGCCGCGUGGGGGAUGACGGCCUUCGGGUUGUAAACUCCUUUCGCUAGGGACGAAGCGCAAGUGACGGUACCUGGAGAAGAAGCACCGGCUAACUACGUG